Anser brachyrhynchus (Pink-footed goose) is the source of this 1554-nucleotide long non-coding RNA. The record is from Ensembl. Lineage: Eukaryota; Metazoa; Chordata; Aves; Anseriformes; Anatidae.
CAAACACUGCAGUAAAUUUUUGAUUAAUUUUGUUUUGCGGUUUCCAUUGUAUUCAAGCCUGUCUCCUACAAAAGGAGAACAAAACAAAACAAAAGAAAAAAGACAUAUAUGAUCUUAUCCAUUCCAAGAAGGGAUUUAAGUAAUUUAGAAUUAGAUGUGUGCCUUCCCUAAGAAAGAUAUUAUUUUACAGAGGCUGUCCAAAGUUAGGGGAUAUUUUUUUUUCCUAAUUGAGUUCUUAUUUAGCCUGUAGUAUAGGAAAAACUUGUCAGUUAAGGUGAUACAGUAAUACUUGUACAGACAGUGCAAAGAGCAAGUUGAGUACAGCAAAACUGCAGUUCACUACUUCUUAAGUCUUUCCAUAAUUCAUUUUCUGCUUUCCUAUUUGUCUUUCAUCCCAGUCAAACAACUCGUCUAGUUUAAACUAGAGUUCCAAGUCAAACAGCAAUCUGAUGUUGUGGUUUUAACAAUUACUCUCUUAUCUUUUCACUGAAAGGGUAGCACCAGAGGAAAACAAAGAAUUACUGGUUGCCACACCUUCUUCUACUACAAUGAUGGAUGGUCACUACAUUUAUAUCUAAAGCAUAAGGCACAGGAGUGCAUCUCAGAUAUUGGGACUAGGAGACCAGCCUCUAAGAGUGAUUUAGAAACCAUUUGCUAUCCUUUCCAUUUGCUUAAAAGGGACGACAACCAGGAUUUCAGAGUCUAACAUUAUGAAUUAUUUCUGUAUUUGGAGCAGUAGGACUAUUAAUAUCCAUACCUUUUGUUGUUAUGGAAAAAGACCAAAAAAGAACAAGAUUCAUAAUGAGAAUACAGUGAUAAGAACAUAAAGAAAAUGUAACGACAAAAUGUAAGACAACAGCGUACAGUGCAGGAUGGUAAACACUCCAAUCAUAAGCCAGGCAAUAAAGAAAAAAUAAGGAAGAACGUUCUUUUAAAUGCCUUACAGAAUCUAAAUAAAGAGCAUAGGCAAGCCUUUCUUCUAUAUUUCAGAAAGGAAAGUGGAGCAGGUGUCUUAUACCAAAUAGCACCACCAACAAAACCAACAAUAAAGAAAAACAAAAGUCAGUAAGUCACAGGGACAGUGGAACACACAUAUUUGUUCAAGACAAAGGUCCCUCAAGCUCGGUAACCCUGACAGUGGCCAGUACCAGAUGCCUAUGGAAGAAGACAGGACAUAGUCCGAAGCUUACCUGUGUUUAAGAAAAAUGGUAAAAUGACAGUCAUUUUUAUGUUGGUCAGAUAACUCCAAUAAUAUGUAAAUUCCAUCAUGUUUAAACUAUGCAUCUCUUAUAAACAAUUCUUUCCAUUAUCAACAGAGUAGUGAAACCUGGUUUCUUCAGAUGCAUGGUUCCAGGUUUCUGGUGUCUAAGAAAAGUGUGAUUAGACCAAAGCUUUCCAUUGGCUGGAGUCACAACACUGGUGUGCUUUACAGAUCCUGUAGUAUCUAGUGAUUUGUGAAACUUUGCUGUAGGUUAUUAGGGGCUCUAAUAGAUUUUCUGUUUCUUCUUCUGAUUUUCAUAUUUUGAGACCCCUAAAUCUACUUGUCAAAUUGGU